UACGUAGGGCGCGAGCGUUAAUCGGAAUUACUGGGCGUAAAUCGUGCGCAGGCGGCUUUGCAAGACAGAUGUGAAAUCCCCGGGCUCAACCUGGGAACUGCAUUUGUGACUGCAAGGCUAGAGUACGGCAGAGGGGGAUGGAAUUCCGCGUGUAGCAGUGAAAUGCGUAGAUAUGCGGAGGAACACCAAUGGCGAAGGCAAUCCCCUGGGCCUGUACUGACGCUCAUGCACGAAAGCGUGGGGAGCAAACAGG
This 253-nucleotide ribosomal RNA is filed under the name uncultured bacterium. RNAcentral's name for it is "partial 16S ribosomal RNA". It matches the Rfam family "Bacterial small subunit ribosomal RNA", at positions 524 to 776 of the family's 1533-position model. The record is from RNAcentral.